CAGCAGCCACGGGAAUACAGAGGAUGCAAGCGUUAUCCGGAUUUACUGGGCGUAAAGCGCACGUAGGCGGACUUUUAAGUCAGGGGUGAAAUCCCGGGGCUCAACCCCGGAACUGCCUUUGAUACUGGAGGUCUUGAGUAUGGUAGAGGUGAGUGGAAUUCCGAGUGUGGAGGUGAAAUUCAUAGAUAUUCGGAGGAACACCAGUGGCGAAGGCGGCUCACUGGUCCAUUACUGACGCUGAGGUGCGAAAGCGUGGGGAGCAAACAGGAUUAGAUACCCGGGUAGUCCAUGUCUCUUAUAA
RNAcentral lists this ribosomal RNA (301 nucleotides) under uncultured bacterium. RNAcentral's name for it is "partial 16S ribosomal RNA". It matches the Rfam family "Bacterial small subunit ribosomal RNA", at positions 509 to 809 of the family's 1533-position model. The record is from RNAcentral.